UCCCUGGUGGUCUAGUGGCUAGGAUUCGGCGCUUUCACCGCCGCGGCCCGGGUUUGAUUCCCGGUCAGGGAC
RNAcentral lists this transfer RNA (72 nucleotides) under Gorilla gorilla gorilla (western lowland gorilla). RNAcentral's name for it is "tRNA-Glu (TTC) (tRNA-Glu-TTC-4-1)". It matches the Rfam family "tRNA". From Rfam's summary of the family: Transfer RNA (tRNA) molecules are approximately 80 nucleotides in length. Their secondary structure includes four short double-helical elements and three loops (D, anti-codon, and T loops). Further hydrogen bonds mediate the characteristic L-shaped molecular structure. tRNAs have two regions of fundamental functional importance: the anti-codon, which is responsible for specific mRNA codon recognition, and the 3' end, to which the tRNAs corresponding amino acid is attached (by aminoacyl-tRNA synthetases). tRNAs cope with the degeneracy of the genetic code in two manners: having more than one tRNA (with a specific anti-codon) for a particular amino acid; and 'wobble' base-pairing, i.e. permitting non-standard base-pairing at the 3rd anti-codon position. Lineage: Eukaryota; Metazoa; Chordata; Mammalia; Primates; Hominidae. The record is from Rfam by way of RNAcentral.